UACGGGAGGCAGCAGUGGGGAAUAUUGCACAAUGGGCGCAAGCCUGAUGCAGCCAUGCCGCGUGUAUGAAGAAGGCCUUCGGGUUGUAAAGUACUUUCAGUCGUGAGGAAGGUGUUAAGGUUAAUAACCUUAGCAAUUGACGUUAGCGACAGAAGAAGCACCGGCUAACUCCGUGCCAGCAGCCGCGGUAAUACGGAGGGUGCGAGCGUUAAUCGGAAUUACUGGGCGUAAAGGGCACGCAGGCGGUUAAUUAAGUUGGAUGUGAAAUCCCCGGGCUUAACCUGGGAAUGGCAUUCAAGACUGGUUAGCUAGAGUCUUGUAGAGGGGGUAGAAUUCCAUGUGUAGCGGUGAAAUGCGUAGAGAUGUGGAGGAAUACCGGUGGCGAAGGCGGCCCCUGGGACAAAGACUGACGCUCAUGUGCGAAAGCGUGGGGAGCAAAC
This 440-nucleotide ribosomal RNA is filed under the name uncultured bacterium. Its description in RNAcentral is "bacterial SSU rRNA". It matches the Rfam family "Bacterial small subunit ribosomal RNA", at positions 340 to 773 of the family's 1533-position model. The record is from RNAcentral.